Molecule: non-coding RNA, 117 nt
Organism: Triticum aestivum (bread wheat)
Lineage: Eukaryota; Viridiplantae; Streptophyta; Magnoliopsida; Poales; Poaceae
Source: Rfam
GUUCUACUCCCUCAGUCCCAAAAUUCUUGUCUUGAAUUUGUGUAGAUACGGACCGACAAAUCUAGUCCGUAUCUACACAAAUCCAAGACAAGAAUUUUGGGACUUAGGGAGUAUCAU